CCCAGGCAACCAAGUGACGUCAACAACGUCGAGGAAACGUCAGUAUUUGGUGGAAUAUAUACACGUAGUUGAACAUUACGUCAUAUCGACGUCUUUUGUAGGUGAUUUUAAAUACGUAAGAUUAAUGACGUUAAAAUACGUUUAAAAGACGUUUUCAUUUCAGCCAGCCUAAGUCUGACGUCACGAAAUUGGGAGGAGCUUGGAGCUUAAAAGUUACAAAACUAGGGUUAUGUUUGUAUCAUCGUUGUCGUUUGUCGUUUCAUUUAAUUGUUUGUUUGUCCUAGUAUUUUGCCUUUUUUGGAUUCAUUUGGAUUUUGUUGGCUGUUUUGUGUGUAUUUUUUAAAACUUCUGUUUGUCAUUUGUAAAUUUUAUAAAUUUACCACAAUGCAAAGUGAUUAUUUAAGGAAAUUAUUAAUGGAAACUCCGCAGAUGUUUUAGAAAGAUAUUCAUUGAAGCUGAAAAUAAUUGGAGAUUUAGAUCCAUAUACAAUUCA
This is a long non-coding RNA of Diabrotica virgifera virgifera (western corn rootworm), 493 nucleotides long. RefSeq lists it as uncharacterized. NCBI's taxonomy places the organism in Eukaryota, Metazoa, Arthropoda, Insecta, Coleoptera, Chrysomelidae. The record is from RefSeq and is a predicted model, not a curated record. The transcript is spliced from 2 exons.